This 603-nucleotide ribosomal RNA is filed under the name Cortinarius albidus. RNAcentral describes it as "eukaryotic LSU rRNA". The stretch from base 203 to 356 matches the Rfam family "5.8S ribosomal RNA". Lineage: Eukaryota; Fungi; Basidiomycota; Agaricomycetes; Agaricales; Cortinariaceae. The record is from RNAcentral.
GGAGCAUGUGCACGCUUGUCAUCUUUAUAUCUCCACCUGUGCACCUUUUGUAGACCUGGAUAUCUCUCUGAAUGCUACGCACUCAGGUUUGGGGUUUGACUUUAUUUGUCUCUCCUUACAUUUCCAGGCCUAUGUUUAUUCAUAUACUCCAAUUGUAUGUUAUAGAAUGUAAUCAAAGGCCUUUGUGCCUGUAAACCUAUACAACUUUCAGCAACGGAUCUCUUGGCUCUCGCAUCGAUGAAGAACGCAGCGAAAUGCGAUAAGUAAUGUGAAUUGCAGAAUUCAGUGAAUCAUCGAAUCUUUGAACGCACCUUGCGCUCCUUGGUAUUCCGAGGAGCAUGCCUGUUUGAGUGUCAUUAAUAUAUCAACCUUUUCAGCUUUUGCUUGUUGAGUGUUGGAUGUGGGGGGUCUUUUGCUGGUCUUCUCAGAUCAGCUCCCCUGAAAUGUAUUAGCGGAACAAGUGUUGACUGUUUAUUGGUGUGAUAACUAUCUACGCUAUUGACAGUAAAGCAGUUCAGCUUCUAGCAGUCCAUUCAAUUGGACAAGUUUUUCAUUAAUGUGACCUCAAAUCAGGUAGGACUACCCGCUGAACUUAAGCAUAUC